UCACAUGUGGCUCAGUUGGUAGAGCAUGGUGUUUGCAACGCCAGGGUUGUGGGUUCCCAUGGGAG
Non-coding RNA from Salmo salar (Atlantic salmon), 65 nucleotides. NCBI's taxonomy places the organism in Eukaryota, Metazoa, Chordata, Actinopteri, Salmoniformes, Salmonidae. The record is from Rfam.